Molecule: unclassified non-coding RNA, 299 nt
Filed under: plant metagenome
Description: partial contains 5.8S ribosomal RNA, internal transcribed spacer 2, and large subunit ribosomal RNA
Rfam family: 5.8S ribosomal RNA (bases 1-105)
Source: RNAcentral
GAAAUGCGAUAAGUAAUGUGAAUUGCAGAAUUCAGUGAAUCAUCGAAUCUUUGAACGCACAUUGCGCCCCCUGGUAUUCCGGGGGGCAUGCCUGUUCGAGCAUCAUUUCACCACUCAAGCCUCGCUUGGUAUUGGGCGACGCGGUCCGCCGCGCGCCUCAAAUCGACCGGCUGGGUCUUUCGUCCCCUCAGCGUUGUGGAAACUAUUCGCUAAAGGGUGCCGCGGGAGGCCACGCCGUAAAACAACCCCAUUUCUAAGGUUGACCUCGGAUCAGGUAGGAAUACCCGCUGAACUUAAGC